RNAcentral lists this ribosomal RNA (478 nucleotides) under uncultured organism. Its description in RNAcentral is "partial 16S ribosomal RNA". It matches the Rfam family "Bacterial small subunit ribosomal RNA", at positions 332 to 801 of the family's 1533-position model. The record is from RNAcentral.
UACACUCCUGCGGGAGGCAGCAGUGGGGAAUAUUGCACAAUGGGCGCAAGCCUGAUGCAGCCAUGCCGCGUGUAUGAAGAAGGCCUUCGGGUUGUAAAGUACUUUCAGCGGGGAGGAAGGCGAUAAGGUUAAUAACCUUGUCGAUUGACGUUACCCGCAGAAGAAGCACCGGCUAACUCCGUGCCAGCAGCCGCGGUAAUACGGAGGGUGCAAGCGUUAAUCGGAAUUACUGGGCGUAAAGCGCACGCAGGCGGUCUGUCAAGUCGGAUGUGAAAUCCCCGGGCUCAACCUGGGAACUGCAUUCGAAACUGGCAGGCUAGAGUCUUGUAGAGGGGGGUAGAAUUCCAGGUGUAGCGGUGAAAUGCGUAGAGAUCUGGAGGAAUACCGGUGGCGAAGGCGGCCCCCUGGACAAAGACUGACGCUCAGGUGCGAAAGCGUGGGGAGCAAACAGGAUUAGAAACCCUUGUAGUCCCAUGAU